Molecule: long non-coding RNA, 280 nt
Filed under: Olea europaea (common olive)
Lineage: Eukaryota; Viridiplantae; Streptophyta; Magnoliopsida; Lamiales; Oleaceae
Description: long non-coding RNA (OEUR_LNC008768)
Source: RNAcentral
AACGAUAUUGGCAUUAUUAGAAUAAGAAUUGUACCAUCUACCCCAGACGACAAAUGCCCGUGACCAGGGGGGGAAAUCUGUUAUUCUAUUAGGGGUUCGAGGGUAUAUAUGACAAUUAGCAACUAUAUUUUAUAUCUUGUGUAUCUAUAAAUUCUUUCAGUGGUCGUCGACAAUUAUCUAUUUUUGACAUGUUGAAGUAAACAAUAAUAGUACGAAUAUCACGUCUGAGUUUGGUGUUUGUUUCUUCAUCUAACUUUUCUCUUCAUGCGUUGUAGUUAUG